Phyllostomus discolor (pale spear-nosed bat) is the source of this 103-nucleotide small nuclear RNA. The record is from RefSeq and is a predicted model, not a curated record. Lineage: Eukaryota; Metazoa; Chordata; Mammalia; Chiroptera; Phyllostomidae.
GUGCUCACUCCUCAGCACACACACGAAUAUUGGAAUGACAUGAGAAGAUUAGCAUGGUCCCUGCGCAAGGAUGACAUGCAAAUUCGUUGUGUUCCAUGUUUUU